ACUCAAAUGAAUAGACGGGGACCCGCACAAGCGGUGGAGUAUGUGGUUUAAUUCGACGCAACGCGAAAAACCUUACCUGGGCUCGAACGACUGGAAGUAUUCCCGAUGAAAGUUGGGACCACCUGUAAAGUCAGGAGCCAGCCGAGGUGCUGCAUGGUUGUCGUCAGCUCGUGUCGUGAGAUGUUGGGUUAAGUCCCGCAACGAGCGCAACCCUCAUCCUAUGUUGCUAACCCGCAAGGGUGCACUCUUAGGAAACUGCCCACGAUGAGUGGGAGGAAGGUGAGGAUGACGUCAAAUCACCAUGGCCCUUAUGUCCAGGGCUACACACGUACUACAAUGGUCGGUACAGAGGGCCGCGAUACCGCAAGGUGGAGCUAAUCCCUAAAACCGGCCCCAGUUCAGAUUGUGGGCUGAAAUUCGUCCACAUGAAGGAGGAAUCGCUAGUAAUCGCGAAUCAGAAGGUCGCGGUGAAUACGUUCCCGGGUCUUGUACACACCGCCCGU
This 503-nucleotide ribosomal RNA is filed under the name uncultured bacterium. Its description in RNAcentral is "partial 16S ribosomal RNA". It matches the Rfam family "Bacterial small subunit ribosomal RNA", at positions 899 to 1397 of the family's 1533-position model. The record is from RNAcentral.